UACAAGCCGAGGCAACUUGAACACCAGGCAUUUGGCCAGAGAUUCCGUAACUUGAUUCACUGCCCAAUGUCACGUGGAAACACUAUUUGUUAUAUAUACCAUAUGUCUUCGUCUUAUGGUAUAUAUAUAGAUUAAAAUAUAUUUAAAUAAAAUAGAAUAGAACGACCGGCAUUUUAAUUCUCAUUCUUAGACUUAGUUUUAGUCUCAGUACAGCAUCCGCUUAUUAAAUGUCACGAUAAAAUCUACUGCACCUAAAAGUUUAACACACAUUUUAAAUCGUGAUACUUUCUACUCUUGUACUCAAUUUUUUUCUACGCUCAAGGAAUUCCAAAUGACGAAAUACGAUCGAGGCUAAUAAUUAAGUAAUAGAGCUUCAUUAUUACGAAGAUCGAUCUGGAAUCUCCAAGAA
Molecule: long non-coding RNA, 409 nt
Organism: Cotesia glomerata
Lineage: Eukaryota; Metazoa; Arthropoda; Insecta; Hymenoptera; Braconidae
Exons: 2
Source: RefSeq, a predicted model, not a curated record